UACGAAGGGGGCUAGCGUUGUUCGGAAUCACUGGGCGUAAAGCGCACGUAGGCGGAUUUGUAAGUCAGGGGUGAAAUCCCGGGGCUCAACCUCGGAACUGCCUUUGAUACUGCAAGGCUCGAGGUCGGGAGAGGUGAGUGGAAUUCCUAGUGUAGAGGUGAAAUUCGUAGAUAUUAGGAAGAACACCAGUGGCGAAGGCGGCUCACUGGCCCAAUUCUGACGCUGAGGUGCGAAAGCGUGGGGAGCAAACAGG
Molecule: ribosomal RNA, 253 nt
Filed under: uncultured bacterium
Lineage: Bacteria
Description: partial 16S ribosomal RNA
Rfam family: Bacterial small subunit ribosomal RNA
Source: RNAcentral